RNAcentral lists this long non-coding RNA (961 nucleotides) under Pavo cristatus (Indian peafowl). RNAcentral describes it as "lncRNA (ENSPSTG00000000156.1)". The record is from RNAcentral. Lineage: Eukaryota; Metazoa; Chordata; Aves; Galliformes; Phasianidae.
ACAAAUCCCAACACCACAANGGCCGGGCCGGGCCGGGCCGGGCCGAGCCGAGGGGACGGCGCUCCGGCCCCCGCCGCCCUCACCCCGCCGGGGCUGGCGGCCACCCCCGCCAUUUUGAGGAGGGGGGAGAACCCGGGGCCUUCCCCCGUGCCACCAGCGGACAGCUCCCGCCGCCCGGCCCCGCAUGGCCUCGGCGACCCCGGCGGGGCUCCCGCUGCCGGCCCCCACCGCCGCCAGCCGCCUGGCGGGCUGCGCUACCUGCCGGCUCGGGCCGUUGGCGGGUCGACCCCGCGCGCCGCGCCGCGUCCCUUUCCGCCAUCUUGUCCGGGUUUAAAAUUAACUCGCCGUGACGUCAGAGCUCCGCCGCGAGACCUUUAUCGCCCGGCGGCGGCGCGCGGGGCGCGGGCACGGUGGGUCCUAGUGCCUCCGGCUGCCCGCCGCGGGAGGGGCGGCGCAUGCGCAAUCCGCAGCCCUGCCGGUGGCGGGUGGGGAAGGCCGCAUGCGCGGUUUGCGUUUGACGGGCCCAGAGGGGUAACCUGUGCAAUGACAAAUCAGCAAGCCCACCACCUACCUGAGUCACUGCAAACACCGUGCUGGCACUGGGGAACGGUGCAGUCUCCCAUCCUGAAGGGCUGACGGUCCUGGGUCAAGCUGGAGAGGUUUCUUUCAGAGGUCCAGGCUGGCUGCAUAGUGAUGAAUUAGCUCAAAAGAGGCAUUCUUCUGUGAAUUCCCACGACACCAAAGAAGUCAAGUUGCAGCUCUCAAGAUCCUUUCCAAGGAAGCAAACUCUCACCAGCCCUGUCCCCCACAUUUCCAUCCCCACACCCUUGGAUGAGACUGUAUCAGCCCAUUGCCCACAUCAGGACACGUCUGGAUGCAAUGUAGCCGUAACCCACUGUGCUCAGCUCUCCUCAGCAAGAGAAGAUUUGGGCUGUUGUGGUCUCCCUCACCAAGGACACAG